GAUGAACGCUAGCUACAGGCUUAACACAUGCAAGUCGAGGGGUAACAAGAGGAAAGCUUGCUUUUCUUGUUGACGACCGGCGCACGGGUGAGUAACGCGUAUCCAACCUGCCUAUAACUAGGGAAUAACCUUGCGAAAGUAAGACUAAUACCCUAUGAUUUCCUUUGAUGACAUCAGAUUAGGAAUAAAGAUUUAUCGGUUAUAGAUGGGGAUGCGUCUGAUUAGCUUGUUGGCGGGGUAACGGCCCACCAAGGCAACGACCAGUAGGGGUUCUGAGAGGAGGGUCCACCACAUUGGAAAUGAGACACGGUACAAACUGCUACGGGCGGCCCCAGUGAGGAACAUUGGUCAAUGGGCGGAGGCAUGAACCAGGCAAUUAGCGUGCAGGAUGACUGCCCUAUGGGGUGUAAACUGCUCUUAUACAGGAUGAAAGUGAGCCACGUGUGGUUAUUUGUAGGUACUGUAUGAAUAAGGACCGGCUAAUUCCGUGCCAUCAGCCGCCGUAA
RNAcentral lists this ribosomal RNA (506 nucleotides) under uncultured bacterium. Its description in RNAcentral is "partial 16S ribosomal RNA". It matches the Rfam family "Bacterial small subunit ribosomal RNA", at positions 28 to 523 of the family's 1533-position model. The record is from RNAcentral.